RNAcentral lists this long non-coding RNA (1248 nucleotides) under Carassius auratus (goldfish). RNAcentral describes it as "lncRNA (ENSCARG00000013465.1)". Lineage: Eukaryota; Metazoa; Chordata; Actinopteri; Cypriniformes; Cyprinidae. The record is from RNAcentral.
GCAUUCCAGAUACUGAACAAAAUAGCAGAAGAAACAAAUUUCAGUGCCAACACACUCUGCAGAUUAAAGCCAUUGUUUCCGGGUCUGGGGCCUUCUUUCUUGAGAAAGCUUGUUGUUACUGAGUCUGCGCCUGAUUGUCUGUGUUGGAGUUUAAUGCUGGCUGACCUGCACCCUGCUCAUCGAGCGAUGGUCCAUUUUACACUCCAACAGGUUGGGACUUCUAGAGCUUGAGCACAAAACAAUCACCAAUUCCCAAUUUUCCAUUUGUGUUUAUGCAUUAGAUUUGGUUUGGUCUGUUGGUGUAUGAUAACACAUGCUGAUUGUUUGAAGGCUCUGGAACGAACAUCUGCAAAUAUAACACGGCAGUUGCAAUGUCUUCUACCAUUCGUUUCCUUGAAGAAAUUAAUGUCAGUUCUGGAUGGAGAGACAGUCCUUCAUCACAUAUCUCUGUAUAAGGAUAUGCCAUGGUCUCACCAACAGGCUCAAAUGCUGUUCAAAAUGACUCAGCGGACCGUGAACAUCACAGGAGUGUCAUUACUGUAAGUGAUAUCUAGCAUUACUAAACUUUAUGAUUGUUGACUGGUCGACUAGCCUCAUCAUCUACAGUAUAUUUUACUUUGUAAACUAAUGCUGGUCUUAGCAAGCCGGUGUAUUGUUUUAAAAUGUAAAAACAUUCAUACGGAAAUGUUUGGUUCUCACUGAAGAGCUUUAGGUCGUAUUGCUGGUGGCAUGAGCUGUGAUUGGCUGAAGCUUUGGGUAAAUGACUCAGGCUUCUCCGAAUUGUUGCAGUUCAUCACUAAGUUGCCAGGAGGACUUAGACCUGGUUUGAGGAAAUGCAUUGUGUUGGAGCUGCGGAAACGGCCUGAUAUUGAUCUAAAUGACUUGGACCCCUCAUUUGCUGCAGGAUUACCGCUGACUAUGAUGGAGCUCCUGUCGAACUCCUCACUCAUAAGUGUACUGGACCAUGUUCGACAACACUUCAUUGACUUUCUCCAGCUCCCACGACACAAGCAAACGGCCCUAGCAGAGAAAGCUAUCGAUGCACUCGGUAUCUCUGAAAAUGGCCUCACCGGGGCCUCCAUGGACAUACUCGGUCCUUUUCUGCCUUUCCUGGACAGGGACGUGUUAGUUCACAUGGACCGAGAGGCUCUGAAACUGCGACUAGAGGAACUGAAACAAUAUUGCCUGCCUUCUGACACCUUCAGACAAAUAGCAGCUUUGCUCACAGAGAGAAGCAUGCUGGGGUGA